GACGAACGCUGGCGGCGUGCUUAACACAUGCAAGUCGAACGGAAAGGCCCUGCUUUUGUGGGGUGCUCGAGUGGCGAACGGGUGAGUAACACGUGAGUAACCUGCCCUUGACUUUGGGAUAACUUCAGGAAACUGGGGCUAAUACCGGAUAGGAGCUCCUGCUGCAUGGUGGGGGUUGGAAAGUUUCGGCGGUUGGGGAUGGACUCGCGGCUUAUCAGCUUGUUGGUGAGGUAGUGGCUUACCAAGGCUUUGACGGGUAGCCGGCCUGAGAGGGUGACCGGCCACAUUGGGACUGAGAUACGGACCAGACUGCUACGGGAGGCAGCAGUGGGGAAUAUUGUACAAUGGGCGGAAGCCUGAUGCAGCAACGCCGCGUGCGGGAUGACGGCCUUCGGGUUGUAAACCGCUUUCGCCUGUGACGAAGCGUGAGUGACGGUAAUGGGUAAAGAAGCACCGGCUAACUACGUG
This 468-nucleotide ribosomal RNA is filed under the name uncultured bacterium. RNAcentral describes it as "partial 16S ribosomal RNA". It matches the Rfam family "Bacterial small subunit ribosomal RNA", at positions 28 to 507 of the family's 1533-position model. The record is from RNAcentral.